GACCAAGGGAGAGCCCGGACAGGAUUGGACUUCGCUCCUAUAAGAAGGAAGGGUCCUCGGCCGUAUCUUCCAUCAGGUUAUGUGCUUGGACAUGUAUAUCUUUCAAAUUCCGGACUACUUGGACCAGAAAAACAUCAUGUCGCUUCGAGAUCGCUGGAGGAAGAAGAACAUCCGGCAAACCGUUCAAUAUCACCACGCAGAGCAGAAGGUACUGCCCUCUAGGCAGCAACUCUUGAAUUCAAUGGCGAAAACUUCUAUCAGGAUGGGGACCCUCUAGGCGGGAGAGCAUGGACCCAACAACAAGGACAUUGAUCAUGAUGGAUUCAAUCAGACUGCUCGAUCAUUGGAUGACAUAAUAUGCUUAGGAUGUGGGUUAACACAGAGUUAACUACCCAUGGAGGUUUGAGGAAGAGCUCUCUGGGCGAAUUCUUGGUGGGCUUAGCCGGCGAACGACACAGGUACUCUGGCAAAGUCGAGCUGGCGGCUAGACUUAGCCAAAAGGAGCGCUCUGGAGGUCAUGGGCGGCAAGGGUAGUAAGUGGCAACACGAAUGGGGUGUCGUGUUGCAAUGAAUGGCGUGGGCUUAUGGGUUCUUUUACUCGUGAGUCAUGCUUACUGGGCUUAGGCGUUAACUAACAUUUGAGAGCAUGCGAUAAACAAAGAGACAAGUGGGUAUGUAUUGUGCUUUUAUGUAUAAUAAUACAAUAUCGCCUGCUAUGCAUGUGGAAUCUAUCUAAAGGUGCAGUUUACCCAUGAUCGAUGCUGGAAGGGGACGGGCUCGCGGAGAAAUGGGAGGCGUCGCAGAAUGUCGACACGCCAAAGUCCGUCUCGUCGGAGCUCCUGGCCCUGAAGUUCAUCGAUUUCGCGGGGGCCGACGAGUCCUCGGUCGGCCUUGAGGCCAUGGAGCUCUCUGGACCAAGGUGACCGGCGACGGCGACCAAUUUGAUCGCGUAGAUGCUUGCUUGUGCCUCAAUGGAUGUGUCGCGUUCGAUUAGCUUUGAAGAGACCGGGCAAAGGGAGAGGAGAGGUGGCAUUUUUUCCAUGUUGGAUAUGGUAAGGGUAGGGGGUGGUGGCAUUCAUUUGUACAUACGGAGGGCAUGGUCAUUGUGUAUUUGUGUGAGCUGAGCUCGGCCCAUCGUUGCUGCUCAUGUACAUGUAGGCUAAGAAAGAUGAGAUGUGAUGAGUUGAGUAAAUAUAGAAAGGAAAUUUU
Hordeum vulgare subsp. vulgare (domesticated barley) is the source of this 1209-nucleotide long non-coding RNA. RefSeq lists it as uncharacterized. Lineage: Eukaryota; Viridiplantae; Streptophyta; Magnoliopsida; Poales; Poaceae. The record is from RefSeq and is a predicted model, not a curated record. The transcript has 3 exons.